UUUUGUCGUGCGUGAGAUUACAAGUAGGCUUACCAUGCCACAACAGCGUAACUAAGCAUUUUAGAUAAGAUGAGUAAACAAGAAGAAUGCAUUUGCCAUAUCUGCACAUUUUAAGGGAAUAGUAUAAUGAAAGCUAGCUUGAUAAACGAGGCUGGUCAUUAUAGGGUUUAACUAUGAGGAACGAGAGAGAUAAAGAAACAUGACAAGCUACAGCCUUAGACUGCAUGCUCAGUUUGAGAAAAAACUGUCAGCUGGAACUGGAAGUCUUGUCAAGAGAGCACUCUAAACUUCAUAUAAGAAACAAAAAUUAAAUAAGACAACAUGUCGAAAGGAAAUAAAACAUUAGAGUGGGCACCAAAGACAUAAUACAAUAUAUUUGCAGAAGUUUCC
Non-coding RNA from Pelobates cultripes (western spadefoot toad), 390 nucleotides. NCBI's taxonomy places the organism in Eukaryota, Metazoa, Chordata, Amphibia, Anura, Pelobatidae. The record is from the annotation of a GenBank genome assembly.